RNAcentral lists this ribosomal RNA (207 nucleotides) under Triticum aestivum (bread wheat). RNAcentral's name for it is "partial small subunit ribosomal RNA". The record is from RNAcentral. Lineage: Eukaryota; Viridiplantae; Streptophyta; Magnoliopsida; Poales; Poaceae.
AUGGACUCCGGAUUCAAAGUUUUACAGGAGAUGGCCCAUCUGUAUGAAACCAUCGGUAAUGACAUGGUUCAUAACAUGCCUAGGACUGACGAUCCACAAAGUCUCAGGAAGCGACUAAUGGUCCAGCUGUUGAUGGUCAGGGAGAACGAAGCAAAGGAUAACAUUCCAGAGCAAGUUAGAGCAGUGUUGAGAUUUAUUGGUGGCUAA